UCCAUCAAAACACUGCAAAUUAAACCCUCUCCCAAAUUCCCAAUUCUCCAAUCAAACCUCUGUUUACAAAUCACGCCGAUGGCUCCUCCACCAACUGGUCUUGUAAUUCUUGGUCCUCCAGAGAUCAACAAGCCCACCCCAACACCGCAACCCGAACCCGCCUUCGGUGAUUCGAUGAGCGGAUCAAACAGAGCCAGACCCCCAAUGGGCCUCACCGAGAACGGCUCAGCCACCUUCCUCACCUCCUCAAACCCCUGCCUCGAUAUGAUCUUCCACGUCGUCCCGGACUCUCCGGCCUCCUAUCUCAACAAACAGCUCCCGCUGGCCUGGGCCCACGACUCCCUCACCACUCUCAAACUCAUCUGCAACCUCAGAGGCGUCCGUGGCGCAGGAAAGUCCGACAAGGAAAGCUUCUACACGGCGGCAUUUUGGCUCCACAAAAACCACCCCAAAACCCUCGCCUGCAACCUCGCCUCUUUCGCCGAGUUCGGCUACUUCAAAGACAUGCGCGAGAUUCUGUACCGCCUUCUAGAAGGCCAAGACGUGAGGAAGAACCAAAAGGACCAGUGGUCAAUGAGAAAACGCCGAUGGGGCGGUAGCAAGAGGAGACCAGUGGUUCGGCGAGUGGCACGGAGACGUCGUCCGAGUUAUAAAAUUGGUAAAUCGAAAACCAAAGCGGUGGUCACUCCGGCCAUCAGCAGCCGGAAGAGUGUGCCUAAAGAGGUUCGGGUAAUGAAGGGGAUGGAGAGGGUAAAAUUGGAAAAGGAAACAGCGAGCUCUGCGAGGAAAGAAAAGAAGAUAGCCAUGGCCAAGAAGGCCAUUGCCAGGUACCAGCGUGACCCGGAUUACCGGUUCUUGCACCAGAGGGUUUCGGAUCUUUUCGCAGAGUGCUUGAAGUCCGAUGUAGAAAAAUUCAAGUCGGAUGAUAAGCAUAAGAAGAUGACUCUGGCUGCCAAGUGGUGCCCUUCCCUUGACUCCUCCUUCGACCGCGCCACUUUGCUCUGCGAAGCCAUUGCGAGGAAGGUGUUUCCCCGAGAAUCGUACCAGGAAUAUGAAGGUAUGGAGGAAGCACAUUACGCCUACAGAGUCAGAGACCGGCUGAGGAAGGAGGUGUUGGUGCCGCUGAGGAAGGAGUUGCAGUUGCCCGAGGUUUACAUGGGUGCCAACCAAUGGGGUGCUAUUCCGUACAAUCGAGUGGCCUCUGUGGCCAUGAAGCUUUACAAAAGUAAGUUUUUGGAGCACGACAAUGAGAGGUUUAGCAAGUAUUUGGAGGACGUGAAAGCCGGCAAGUCCACAAUUGCGGCGGGUGCUUUGCUUCCGCAUGAGAUCAUAGCCCAACUGAAUAAUAUGGGGUGGCCUUCUUCUUACGAUGACCAGAAUGACGAUGACUAAGACCAGAAUGACGAUGACAAGGAAGAUCAAGUGGCCUUGCUUCAGUGGAAGAAAAUGGUGGAUGACAUGCUAAAGGAAGGGAAGCUGAAGAAUAGCUUGGCUGUAUGUGACGUCUCGGACAGCAUGGCUGGAACCCCAAUGGAGGUGUCUUUGGCUUUGGGAUUGUUGGUAUCCGAACUGACUGAAGAGCCAUGGAAGGGAAAGGUCAUCACUUUCAGUGGAAACGCUCGGCUGCAUUUGAUUGAAGGGGAUGACCUUAGUUCCAAGUGUGAAUUUGUGAGGAGGAUGGAUUGGGGCAUGAACACUGAUUUUCAAAAGGUGUUUGAUUUGCUUCCCCAAGUGGCCGUGAAUGGGAAUUUGAAGCCAGAGCAUAUGAUCAAGAGGAUCUUCGUGUUCAGCGACAUGGAGUUCGAUGAGGCUUCGAGUAAUAGUUGGGAGACUGAUUAUGAGGUAAUACAGAGGAAGUAUAAGGAGAAAGGGUACAAGAAUGCAGUGCCACAGAUCGUGUUUUGGAAUCUGAGGCAUUCUAUGUCUACGCCAUUGCCGAGCACAGAACCAGGGGUGGCGCUGUUGAGUGGCUUCUCCAAGAAUUUGAUGACGAUAUUCUUGGAUGGGGAUGGGGACAUUCGCCCGGAUCUUACCAUGGAAGCAGCCAUCUCCGGCGAAAAGUAUCAGAAGCUGGUUGUGAUAGAUUGAUGAUAUGAUCAUCAACAUUCAUUCAUGUCUCCUGUAAAAAAUUCAUAAAUAAGUUGACGUUUUAUGUUUGGCCCUUUC
RNA transcript from Prunus persica (peach), 2166 nucleotides. RefSeq lists it as uncharacterized. The record is from RefSeq and is a predicted model, not a curated record. The transcript has a single exon. NCBI's taxonomy places the organism in Eukaryota, Viridiplantae, Streptophyta, Magnoliopsida, Rosales, Rosaceae.